AUUGAACGCUGGCGGCAGGCCUAACACAUGCAAGUCGAACGGUAACAGGAAGAAGCUUGCUUCUUUGCUGACGAGUGGCGGAUGGGUGAGUAAUGUCUGGGAAACUGCCUGAUGGAGGGGGAUAACUACUGGAAACGGUAGCUAAUACCGCAUAACGUCGCAAGACCAAAGAGGGGGACCUUCGGGCCUCUUGCCAUCGGAUGUGCCCAGAUGGGAUUAGCUAGUAGGUGGGGUAACGGCUCACCUAGGCGACGAUCCCUAGCUGGUCUGAGAGGAUGACCAGCCACACUGGAACUGAGACACGGUCCAGACUCCUACGGGAGGCGGCAGUGGGGAAUAUUGCACAAUGGGCGCAAGCCUGAUGCAGCCAUGCCGCGUGUAUGAAGAAGGCCUUCGGGUUGUAAAGUACUUUCAGCGGGGAGGAAGGGAGUAAAGUUAAUACCUUUGCUCAUUGACGUUACCCGCAGAAGAAGCACCGGCUAACUCCGUG
Molecule: ribosomal RNA, 490 nt
Filed under: uncultured bacterium
Lineage: Bacteria
Description: partial 16S ribosomal RNA
Rfam family: Bacterial small subunit ribosomal RNA
Source: RNAcentral